This 491-nucleotide ribosomal RNA is filed under the name uncultured bacterium. RNAcentral's name for it is "partial 16S ribosomal RNA". It matches the Rfam family "Bacterial small subunit ribosomal RNA", at positions 29 to 506 of the family's 1533-position model. The record is from RNAcentral.
AGUGAACGCUGGCGGUAGGCCUAACACACGCAAGUCGAACGGCAGCACAGUAAGAGCUUGCUCUUACGGGUGGCGAGUGGCGGACGGGUGGGGAAUACAUCGGAAUCUACUUUUUCGUGGGGGAUAACGUAGGGAAACUUACGCUAAUACCGCAUACGACCUACGGGUGAAAGCAGGGGAUCUUCGGACCUUGCGCGAUUGAAUGAGCCGAUGUCGGAUUAGCUAGUUGGCGGGGUAAAGGCCCACCAAGGCGACGAUCCGUAGCUGGUCUGAGAGGAUGAUCAGCCACACUGGAACUGAGACACGGUCCAGACUCCUACGGGAGGCAGCAGUGGGGAAUAUUGGACAAUGGGCGCAAGCCUGAUCCAGCCAUACCGCGUGGGUGAAGAAGGCCUUCGGGUUGUAAAGCCCUUUUGUUGGGAAAGAAAAGCAGCAGGUUAAUACCCCGCUGUUCUGACGGUACCCAAAGAAUAAGCACCGGCUAACUUCGU